RNAcentral lists this transfer RNA (72 nucleotides) under Streptomyces fumigatiscleroticus. Its description in RNAcentral is "tRNA-Gln". RNAcentral also lists the same sequence under 4 other names. The record is from RNAcentral. Lineage: Bacteria; Bacillati; Actinomycetota; Actinomycetes; Kitasatosporales; Streptomycetaceae.
UGCGUGAUAGAAUAAUGGGAAUUCACAGGAAUUUGGGCCCUGCCGAUCCCAGUUCGAAUCUGGGUCACGCAC